GGUUAAGCGACUAAGCGUACACGGUGGAUGCCCUGGCAGUCAGAGGCGAUGAAGGACGUGCUAAUCUGCGAAAAGCGUCGGUAAGGUGAUAUGAACCGUUAUARCCGGCGAUGUCCGAAUGGGGAAACCCAGUGCAAUUCGUUGCACUAUCGUUUGAUGAAUACAUAGUCAAACGAGGCGAACCGGGGGAACUGAAACAUCUAAGUACCCCGAGGAAAAGAAAUCAACCGAGAUUCCCCCAGUAGCGGCGAG
Molecule: ribosomal RNA, 252 nt
Filed under: Citrobacter amalonaticus
Lineage: Bacteria; Pseudomonadati; Pseudomonadota; Gammaproteobacteria; Enterobacterales; Enterobacteriaceae
Also listed under: 1 other name
Description: partial 23S ribosomal RNA
Source: RNAcentral